Molecule: ribosomal RNA, 425 nt
Filed under: uncultured bacterium
Lineage: Bacteria
Description: bacterial SSU rRNA
Rfam family: Bacterial small subunit ribosomal RNA
Source: RNAcentral
UGAGGAAUAUUGGUCAAUGGGCGGAAGCCUGAACCAGCCAUGCCGCGUGAAGGAAGAAGGUCCUAUGGAUUUUAAACUUCUUUUGUCGGAGAGCAAUAAGGGUCUCGUGAGAUCCGAUGAGAGUAUCCGACGAAUAAGCAUCGGCUAACUCCGUGCCAGCAGCCGCGGUAAUACGGGGGAUGCGAGCGUUAUCCGGAUUUAUUGGGUUUAAAGGGUGCGUAGGCGGUCCGGUAAGUCAGCCGUGAAAAGCCCCCGCUCAACGGGGGUCGUGCGUUUGAUACUGUUGGACUGGAAUGCGGAUGCCGUGGGAGGAAUGUGUGGUGUAGCGGUGAAAUGCAUAGAUAUCACACAGAACACCGAUUGCGAAGGCAUCUCACGAAUCCGCAAUUGACGCUGAGGCACGAAAGCGCGGGUAUCGAACAGGA